Molecule: ribosomal RNA, 265 nt
Filed under: uncultured Archaeospora
Lineage: Eukaryota; Fungi; Glomeromycota; Glomeromycetes; Archaeosporales; Archaeosporaceae
Description: partial small subunit ribosomal RNA
Rfam family: Eukaryotic small subunit ribosomal RNA
Source: RNAcentral
UAAAGUUGUUGCAGUUAAAAAGCUCGUAGUUGAAUUAGGCCUGGCCGGAUGGUCCGUCUUUGGCGAGUACUGUUCUGUCGUCGGGUCUAUCCUUCUGGUGAGCCGGGAUGCCCUUUAUUGGGUGUGUCGGGGAACCAGGACCAUUACCUUGAAAAAAUUAGAGUGUUUAAAGCGGGCAUUUGCUUGAAUAGAUUAGCAUGGAAUAAUAGAAUNGGACGUUGGUUCUAUUUUGUUGGUUUUAGGACCACCGUAAUGAUUAAUAGGG